This is an RNA transcript of Spinacia oleracea (spinach), 2415 nucleotides long. It is a transcript of the gene named chorismate synthase 2, chloroplastic, with no coding region annotated. NCBI's taxonomy places the organism in Eukaryota, Viridiplantae, Streptophyta, Magnoliopsida, Caryophyllales, Amaranthaceae. The transcript is spliced from 3 exons. The record is from RefSeq and is a predicted model, not a curated record.
AUCGUCUUACUCCAAGACUCAGUCAAAGUGGGGGCUAACUGUAGACACCUACUUUUGUCCCCAUUCCCGAAAGGGAAAGGUUUGAUGAUGAAAGCAUAAAAACUCCACUUGACAACGCAUCUCCUAUAAAAUAAACGAAUCUCGAUUCCCCAUUUCAUUUCACCCGAAACCUGCUAUUUAUGGAAACCUGCUGAAAAAAGUAACUGCCGUAAAAAGUAGCGUCUAAAAGUGGCAAAUCAUAAAAGAUAGAAACCUGUCAGAAUUAUAUGUUGCAUUCCAACAUAAAUCCUAAAUGAGAUAGAAAACUGCGAGAAUCCUAUUCCUAAUAUGAUUCGGAAAUAAGAGUUACGUAUUAAUUAAAAUCCUAACGAGCCUAGAGUUCGUAACGGGCCCAGACGCAUUCCGUCAUGAAAUUGAUACGCACUAAAAGGCUCGAUUAAGUCUCAAACACUACGGAUUUCAGGAAUCCGAAUCUGACAAAGAAACGGCUCAAACAGCAAUUUCAACGCCCAUCCCUGGGCGCUGAAAUUGCCUGGAUCCUAUUUUCAACGCCCAGAGCUGGGCGCCGAAAUCUUUGACGCCCAGCCCUGGGCGCUGAAAGUACCUGGGUACGUCUCUUUUCCUAAUUCUUUGCGGAUUAGAACUCUGCAAUUCUAUCUUUUCACGAACUCUUCCCUAUAAAUAGGCCCCUAGUUUCGACGUGAAACAACACACAACAACACAUAAUAUAUUCUGAGUAUUGACUCUAAACCCCUUAGCCUAAGCCUCUCGCUGCGAAACUGUUCACGCGUUCUGUCGCAAUCGAUCCAUAAAUCGAACAGAACGUAUCCUGUCCCAUAAUUGAGAUUCCUUAAAUAAAAAGGAGAAAUAGCAAAGUCAAAGUGGUUAGUUUUCUGAGAACCGUGACGCACCUCUCAAGGGUGCGUCGUGAUGUGUCCCUUUUCGAUGAUUUAACUGCUUUCCUCGCCCUUUUUAUGAACUGUUAAACUAACCUAAUAUGAUUGUUCUAUCACGCCUAACAAAUAUAAUAUUUUUGGGGAAUCGGAUUAUCAUGCUAGGUCCCUUAAUGUUAUUUAAAUCAGAUAAUCACGAUCGAAUUAGUAUUAUAUGUUGCAUAUUGCUAAAAUCAACUCAGAUUAGUUUAAUAGUUAACGCAUGUCCCUUCAAUUAUUUAUGCUGAGCUAGUAAGGAUAUACUGCCUCUGGAGUUAUCGACGAGCGAAUUACUGCUCUCGGUAGUUACAGUCCCCCGAACCCUCAAUCUCUACCUUGCGGGUGUAUAUUGAGAGAUCCCCACACCAGGGAUCACAAGGGAACCUACGGCCGUCGUGGUCAAACAUAAUUACACUCCCUUUAUGUCAGGAUAACCGGGUUUUGUCAGUUUUUCCCAUUGUUGUUAAAAACUGAAUAGCUACUCCUAUAUUACUAGUCAAUUGGGUGUAUACUCACAGGAAAUCCAAUUACACUUGAUUGAAUAAAAAUAAUCGUCACACCCACGAGGGACAAGGUCACGCAUUAGCCUCGCGCUUUUUCGACCCCCUCACACUCACUACCGACGGUGUCUUCUGUGGCGCGUUCUUUAAUUCUAGUGAAAUGACGUCUUCGGCUUGAUCCUGCGAACAAUUUGUACUUUCCUUGAGGCCUGGCCAAAGCCGGAUUACUACCCCAAGGAAAGAGACGGAUACAUGCAAAAUAAUUUCAGGCAUUUCUGAAGGAUUGACUAUUGGAUCACCAAUUGUAGUGAAUGCACCAAAUACUGACCAAAGAGGAAAUGUAAGAAUUUUGGCUACUUGUUAAAGUGAUGUUAAAACUUGAACUUCAGUUAUGUCUAAUGUCUAAAGUGUUAGCUUUUAUGUGUUCAUUCUUACACAUCUUGCCUAUAUAAUAAUGGCAGUAUGAUGGGAGGGAAUAGAAAGAGAUGGGAACAAGUUCCCUUCUUUGGAUAAGGGAUUGGGGGAAAGGAAAGGACGGGAGGGUUCUAUUUUUCCUCCCUUUUUAAUUGGAGAGAUUUGGAAAGGCAAUGGAGCCCCCCCCCCCUCCCCUCCGUUUUUCCUCCCAUUUUGUUUUUUUUCUUUGAAGAUCGUCCAGGGAGCAUUGAAGCUUUCUUCUCCAGAGUUAGAUCAAGGCAAGGUGGGCCAGCCCUCAAUAGGAGGAGUGUAAGGAGAAACAUGAGAAUGAAGGCCAGGACACUUGAGCAAGUUACUUCCACUACUAGAUCCUAGUUUUUCUAGGUUAUAGUAGAUACAAUUUGUAUUUUGAUGAUAUUUUGGACUAUUUAGUUAGUAACAUUUAUAUACUAUGGAAUUUGGUUAGUAACUUUAUCAUGUACUAUGGAUAAUUAGUAACAUUAUCGUGUACGAUGGAUUUUAACUAUGUACUUCUAGAUUUGUAUAGGUUAAUUUCAAUGUUACAUAGA